This 499-nucleotide ribosomal RNA is filed under the name Mantidactylus melanopleura. RNAcentral's name for it is "partial 16S ribosomal RNA". It matches the Rfam family "Bacterial large subunit ribosomal RNA", at positions 1932 to 2597 of the family's 2925-position model. The record is from RNAcentral. Lineage: Eukaryota; Metazoa; Chordata; Amphibia; Anura; Mantellidae.
CACGGUAUCCUAACCGCGCGAAGGUAGCAUAAUCACUUGUUCUUUAAAUGGGGACUUGUAUCAACGGCACCACGAGGGUUAUACUGUCUCCUUUUUCAAAUCAGUGAAAUUAAUCUCCCCGUGAAGAAGCGGGGAUAUUCUUAUAAGACGAGAAGACCCCAUGGAGCUUCAAACCCAAUUACACCCCUAACUCUUAUAACCUCACAACCCCCUCUAGACACGUGUACUUGGUUUUGGGUUGGGGCGACCGCGGAGUAUAAUAAAACCUCCACAAUGAAUGGGACCACCCCCUUAUCUAAGGACCACACCCCUAAGAAUUAGAACACUAACAUAAAAUGAUCCAUUACUUGAUCAAUGAACCAAGUUACCCUGGGGAUAACAGCGCAAUCCAUUUCAAGAGCCCCUAUCGACAAAUGGGUUUACGACCUCGAUGUUGGAUCAGGGUACCCCAGUGGUGCAGCAGCUACUAAUGGUUCGUUUGUUCAACGAUUAAAACCCU